UUCGACCCGAACAUGAAAGUUGCUCCAUUUUGAGUCCCGAACAUGGUUCCAUCAAUGGUUUCUUGAACGAGCAAUCCCAUCGCUUGUUUCACUUGCUUUGCCCUUGAUCGCGUCAUUGGUCCGCCAUCGACUAUCAACGGGUCUCGUCUCGCACUUGCCUUCGUCGGGCUCGACUCCUGGAUCAUAUCAUCCCCUCCCUCUUCAAAAGGAUUCGUCCUCGAAUCUGAACCUGCAUCAAACAGAGAGAGAUCAGAUACAUUAAAAGUAGCCGAAACAUUGUACUCACCUGGAAGGUCCAACUUGUAAGCAUUGUCGUUUAUCUUUUCAAUCACUUGAAAUGGACCAUCGCCCCUCGGUUGCAACUUGGACUUCCUUUGCUCCGGAAACCGCUCUUUCCUAAGGUGCACCCAAACCCAAUCUCCUGGCUCGAAUGUCACGCGCUUCCUACCUUUGUUCGCCUGCGACGCAACCAACUUACUUUUGUUUUCAAUUUGCGCUUUUACCUUUUCAUGGAGUGACUUAAUCAAUUCCGCCUUCUUUUUGCCAUCUAAACUACCACGUUCAUUCACAGGUAAAGGAAUUAAAUCCAAAGGAGUUAGUGGAUUAAAACCAUAUACAAUUUCAAAUGGAGAAUAUGACGUAGUAGAGUGAACNUUAUGCUUCAAACUAUUUUUAUACUCUUUCCAAGUAGGUGGCAAUUUUUCAAUUAUAGCUGACACUUGAAAGCCCUCACAGAUUUUAUAUCCUUCAGCAAUAAUUUCGUGAAUUAUAAUCUGCAAUUCUUCAACCUGACUAACCACAGUUCUAACAUCAUUCAUUUUAAAAUCUAAAAACUUUCCCACAACAAAUUUCUUGGUUCCAGCAUCUUCUGUAGCAUAUUUCUUUUCUAAUGAAUUCCAUAACUCUUUUGCAGAUUUACACGAGUAGUAAAC
This 932-nucleotide long non-coding RNA is filed under the name Olea europaea subsp. europaea. The record is from RNAcentral. Lineage: Eukaryota; Viridiplantae; Streptophyta; Magnoliopsida; Lamiales; Oleaceae.